Long non-coding RNA from Rosa chinensis, 166 nucleotides. RefSeq lists it as uncharacterized. The record is from RefSeq and is a predicted model, not a curated record. NCBI's taxonomy places the organism in Eukaryota, Viridiplantae, Streptophyta, Magnoliopsida, Rosales, Rosaceae. The transcript has 3 exons.
UUCCAAAUGGACAUAUUCAUGUACUUGAUUAAUUCUGUGGCACGCUUUUAUCCAUGUACAAUGUAAAGCUUGUCUCAAGCAAUGCUACAUUAGAGGCUUCUUUUAGCCCAGAUGGGAUGUUUGUUAUGUCAGCUCAAAGAGAGAAAAUAAGUGAAGCUAAUCGAGG